GUGGCCUAUUGAUUAGAGCGUCCGCUUCAGAUGCGGGAGGUCGUGGGUUCAAUUCCCACGGCCG
Potamilus streckersoni is the source of this 64-nucleotide non-coding RNA. The record is from the annotation of a GenBank genome assembly. NCBI's taxonomy places the organism in Eukaryota, Metazoa, Mollusca, Bivalvia, Unionida, Unionidae.